Molecule: ribosomal RNA, 366 nt
Filed under: uncultured organism
Description: bacterial SSU rRNA
Rfam family: Bacterial small subunit ribosomal RNA
Source: RNAcentral
CGGAGGAUCCAAGCGUUAUCCGGAAUCAUUGGGUUUAAAGGGUCCGUAGGCGGGUUUAUAAGUCAGUGGUGAAAGCCCAUCGCUCAACGAUGGAACGGCCAUUGAUACUGUAGAUCUUGAAUUAUUAGGAAGUAACUAGAAUAUGUAGUGUAGCGGUGAAAUGCUUAGAGAUUACAUGGAAUUCCAAUUGCGAAGGCAGGUUACUACUAAUGGAUUGACGCUGAUGGACGAAAGCGUGGGUAGCGAACAGGAUUAGAUACCCUGGUAGUCCACGCCGUAAACGAUGGAUACUAGCUGUUCGGAGCAAUCUGAGUGGCUAAGCGAAAGUGAUAAGUAUCCCACCUGGGGAGUACGUUCGCAAGAAUG